RNAcentral lists this non-coding RNA (727 nucleotides) under Pongo abelii (Sumatran orangutan). Lineage: Eukaryota; Metazoa; Chordata; Mammalia; Primates; Hominidae. The record is from RNAcentral.
UGCAUUCUAGGAAGAUCAUUCCUUAAAAGAAAUAGCCAUAUGGCUUAUAAGAUGGAGUCUCACUCUUGUCACCCAGGCUGGAGUGCAAUGGUGUGAUCUCGGCUCACUGCAACCUCUGCCUCCCAGGUUCAAGUGAUUCUCCUGCCUCAGCCUCCCAAGUAGCUGGGAUUACAGGGACUAUAUCUUAGGACUGUGUGUCUUCUGCAGUUCUUUGCAUAGAGUCAAUGUUGAAGGACAAGCAACUUCAAAUUUCCAAGCAACAAAAUUAUGUUCGGGUGGUUUUCUGAAAGCGAGAUCUUAAGAACCACCCGUAUCAGAAUCCCAUGAAGAGCUUGUUUAGUGUGCAAAUUUCCAGAUUGUCCCCCCUCAGAAAUGCUCAUUCAGGAGUUCAUGUCCUUUGCAGGGAUGUGGAUGAAGCUGGAAACCAUCAUCCUCAGCAAACUAACACAGGAACAGAAAACCAAACACUGCAUGUUCUCACUCAAAAGUGGGAGUUGAACAUGAGAAAACAUGGACACAGGGAGGGGAACAUCACACACCAGGGCCUGUCGGGGGGUGGGAGGCAAGGGGAGGGAGAGGAUUAGGAGAAAUACCUAAUGCAUGUGGGGCUUAAAACCCAGAUGAUGGGUUGAUAGGUGCAGGAAACCACCAUGGACAUGUUUACCUAUGUAACAAACUUGCAUGUUCAGCACAUGUAUCCCAAAACUUAAAGUAAAAUAUAAAAUAA